This 394-nucleotide ribosomal RNA is filed under the name uncultured Anaeromyxobacter sp. RNAcentral's name for it is "bacterial SSU rRNA". It matches the Rfam family "Bacterial small subunit ribosomal RNA", at positions 67 to 447 of the family's 1533-position model. The record is from RNAcentral. Lineage: Bacteria; Pseudomonadati; Myxococcota; Myxococcia; Myxococcales; Anaeromyxobacteraceae.
CGAGAAAGCCCGCAAGGGUGAGUAAAGCGGCGCACGGGUGCGUAACACGUGGGUAAUCUGCCCUGAAGCCCGGAAUAACUCGCCGAAAGGCGUGCUAAUGCCGGAUAAGACCACGGGAGCUCCGGCUCCUGCGGGAAAAGGUGGCCUCUGUAUACAAGCUAUCACUUCAGGAUGAGCCCGCGGCCCAUCAGCUCGUUGGCGGGGUAAUGGCCCACCAAGGCUACGACGGGUAGCUGGUCUGAGAGGACGAUCAGCCACACUGGAACUGAGACACGGUCCAGACUCCUACGGGAGGCAGCAGUGGGGAAUCUUGCGCAAUGGGCGAAAGCCUGACGCAGCAACGCCGCGUGUGUGAUGAAGGUCUUCGGAUCGUAAAGCACUGUCGCGAGGGACG